AGGACUAACGCUGGCGGCGUGCCUAACACAUGCAAGUCGAACGAGAGUAGCAAUACUCUAGUGGCAGACGGGUGAGUAACACGUGGUCAACCUUCCCUAGCGUGGGGGAUAACUAGCCGAAAGGUUAGCUAAUACCGCAUGACAUCGUCGAGUGGCAUCAUUUGACGAUCAAAGGAGCAAUCCGCGCAAGGACGGGACCGCGUCCCAUUAGCUAGUUGGUGAGGUAACGGCCCACCAAGGCUUCGAUGGGUAGCUGGUUUGAGAGAGCGACCAGCCACACUGGGACUGAGACACGGCCCAGACUCCUACGGGAGGCAGCAGUGAGGAAUUUUCCGCAAUGGGCGAAAGCCUGACGGAGCGACGUCGCGUGUGGAAGAAGGCCUUCGGGUCGUAAACCACUGUCGAAGGGGAAGAUAUUGACGGUACCUUGGAGGAAGCCCGGCUAACUACGUGCCAGCAGCCGC
RNAcentral lists this ribosomal RNA (464 nucleotides) under uncultured bacterium. RNAcentral describes it as "SSU rRNA". It matches the Rfam family "Bacterial small subunit ribosomal RNA", at positions 26 to 518 of the family's 1533-position model. The record is from RNAcentral.